GAUGAACGCUGGCGGCGUGCCUAAUACAUGCCAGUCGAGCGAACAGAUGAGGAGCUUGCUCCUCUGACGUUAGCGGCGGACGGGUGAGUAACACGUGGAUAACCUACCUAUAAGACUGGGAUAACUUCGGGAAACCGGAGCUAAUACCGGAUAAUAUAUUGAACCGCAUGGUUCAAUAGUGAAAGACGGUUUUGCUGUCACUUAUAGAUGGAUCCGCGCCGCAUUAGCUAGUUGGUAAGGUAACGGCUUACCAAGGCAACGAUGCGUAGCCGACCUGAGAGGGUGAUCGGCCACACUGGAGCUGAGACACGGUCCAGACUCCUACGGGAGGCAGCAGUAGGGAAUCUUCCGCAAUGGGCGAAAGCCUGACGGAGCAACGCCGCGUGAGUGAUGAAGGUCUUCGGAUCGUAAAACUCUGUUAUUAGGGAAGAACAAAUGUGUAAGUAACUAUGCACGUCUUGACGGUACCUAAUCAGAAAGCCACGGCUAACUACGU
RNAcentral lists this ribosomal RNA (496 nucleotides) under uncultured bacterium. RNAcentral describes it as "partial 16S ribosomal RNA". It matches the Rfam family "Bacterial small subunit ribosomal RNA", at positions 28 to 506 of the family's 1533-position model. The record is from RNAcentral.